AUUGAACGCUGGCGGCAGGCCUAACACAUGCAAGUCGAACGAGUGGCGGACGGGUGAGUAAUGUCUGGGAAACUGCCUGCUGGAGGGGGAUAACUACUGGAAACGGUAGAUAAUACCGCAUAUCAUCGGAUGUGCACAGAUGGGAGUAGCUAGUAGGUGGGGUAAAGGCUCACCUAGGCGACGAUCCCUAGCUGGUCUGAGAGGAUGACCAGCCACACUGUAACUGAGACACGGUCCAGACUCCUAAGGUAGGCAGCGGUGGGGAAUAUUGCACAAGUGUCGCAAGACUGAUGCAGCCAUGCCGCGUGUAUGAAGAAGGCCUUCGGGUUGUAAAGUACUGUCAGCGAGGAGGCGUUACCCGCAGAAGAAGCACCGGCUAACUCCGUGCCAGCAUCCGCGGUAAUAC
RNAcentral lists this ribosomal RNA (406 nucleotides) under uncultured bacterium. RNAcentral describes it as "partial 16S ribosomal RNA". It matches the Rfam family "Bacterial small subunit ribosomal RNA", at positions 30 to 526 of the family's 1533-position model. The record is from RNAcentral.